UACAGAGGUCUCAAGCGUUGUUCGGAUUCAUUGGGCGUAAAGGGUGUGUAGGUGGCGCCGUAAGUCGGGUGUGAAAUCUCGGGGCUUAACUCCGAAACUGCAUUCGAUACUGCGGUGCUUGAGGACUGGAGAGGAGACUGGAAUUCAUGGUGUAGCAGUGAAAUGCGUAGAGAUCAUGAGGAAGACCAGUGGCGAAGGCGGAUCUCUGGACAGUUCCUGACGCUGAGGCGCGAAGGCCAGGGGAGCAAACGGG
This 253-nucleotide ribosomal RNA is filed under the name uncultured bacterium. RNAcentral's name for it is "partial 16S ribosomal RNA". It matches the Rfam family "Bacterial small subunit ribosomal RNA", at positions 524 to 776 of the family's 1533-position model. The record is from RNAcentral.